Cyprinus carpio carpio is the source of this 1217-nucleotide long non-coding RNA. Lineage: Eukaryota; Metazoa; Chordata; Actinopteri; Cypriniformes; Cyprinidae. The record is from Ensembl.
CUUUCCUGUUUUUCUUUUCUCUACGGUAAACAGUUCUCAAUGUAAAAACUACCAUUUUUAAAAGUUAUUUAGCAACCUAAGAAACAACUACUGCAAAAGUGUUCAAUAAAAUUAUGAAAAUUAUUUUUGUUAGUAGAUGGCAUCAUAGCUUGGCUUCUAAUUGGCAUGGAAACAAUUUUUACUCAGAUAUUGCUUGUAAAUAAUUGCAAAGAAAUUGCAAGCAACACAACAAAUUAAAGAUGAAAUUUUGAAGAAAAAAAAGUAAAGAUUGUAUUUGUGACAAUUCUAAAAAAAAUUAAACACAUUUGUCAAGUAAUUUAAAUAUCAAAUAGAAAAUCCACCAAAUAAGACUCCCUCCCCUUCACACAUUGAGUUGUCCUGGAAAUGUUGAAAAAAAGAGCAGCUGUGCAAGUGUGUGUGUGAGAGUCUCAUGAUAAGACCGAGAGGCCAAACACACCCUAGGCUCUCCCUCUUAGGUUUGUCGUUGACAGGAGAGAGUUAUUGCUCAAUGACAUUACAUGUUUUCCUUCAGUUUCAUGUUGGAUUGAUUUCUCAGAUUUUUCUGAAAUACCUCCAGAGCCCUUGAGCACUGUGACUGCCAUUAUUGAAACAAAACAGUGACAAGGACAGAAGGAUGGGGGAUGAAGAUGACAGAACGGAGGGGAAGCUAAGGCAGGGUGACGGUCUUAGAGUUAGGUGGGGUGUAUGUGUGAUGCCCUGGGGUGGCUCAGCCCAGCGGUGUGCAGUGACCUGGCUUGUCGCUCACUGACCUGUGAGACGGACAUAAUGAAGUGUGAGUGGCCGUCACCUUAACCGUCUGUGACAAGCCAUCCCAGCCCGGAGCACAUCUGUGUCAGGCAGCUCCGCCAUCAGAGCCGGGCUCUCACUGGCGACACUGCAUCCAUCCACACUGCGCUCCUGGGAUGGCCCCGGCACCCCACUGCUGCAAUAUGGCCCUGUUAUCCAGCAAGGUCACAGGGGAAGAAGGAGGCAGAGCCAAAGACCAGCUGUCACACACCAGAGCCAUUGGUCCAGAGAAUUUUUUUUUCUUCCUUUUUGAAAUUUUUGACUACUUCUACUCAACUACUGUAACUACCUACACUUGUAAGCCACUUGUACACUCUUAAAAAUAAAACAUCCAAAUGGUGGAUGAUGCCAUAAGAACAAUUUUUGGUUCCUCAAAAGAACCUUUCAGUGAACCGUUCUUAAAAGAACCC